AUAUAUUUGAGUUUGGUGAUGGCUCUGAUUGAACACUGUCCAAGUGCUUGACACAUGCUAAUCGUACGUUUUAAUACAAAUUAUUAAAAAGUGGUGUACAGGUGAGUAUUAGAUAUUUUUUGCCGACCUUAAAGAGAAGCUAGAUACUUCAUAAUAAUAAAGAGGUGAAAACCUUGCUUUAAGAGGACGAUAAUUAUCAUCGGGACAGGUAGUAGUUAAGGUGAUGACUUAACUAGCCGACAAAUCCCGUAGUCGAAUCUGGAAGGAUGAUCGACCACAUUGGGUCUGAAAAAAGCCCAAUGCAUAUAAGUACAGCAGUGAGGAAUUUUGGUCAAUGGCCUAACGGCUGAACUGGCAACUUGGAGAAGCGGAAAGUCAUACCUCUAUAGAUAACUUACUAUAUGUAUGUAUUAGAUUAAUUUUUGAAUGAAGCUUUGUUUAUAUAUCAAUAAUGAUGAUGUAUAUAUAAUGUCUUGACCAAUUACGUGCCAGCAGUCGCGGUAAUACGUAAGAGACUAGUGUUAUUCAUAUGAAUUAGGUUUAAAGGGUACUUAGGCGGCCAUAACAUCUUGUAAAAAUGCAAAUAUUAGGCUAGAGUUAUAAUAGAAGAGGGUAGUACUUGAGGAGGAGAGAUAAAAUUCAUUGAUACCAAAGGGACUGGUUACGGCGAAAGCAACCCUUUAAAUAGUAACUGACGUUGAAGGACGAAGGCAUUGGUCACGAACAGGAUUAGAUACCCUUAGUAGUCUUUGCAGUCAAUGAUGAAUGUCAUGAGUUGGAUGAAAAUCUGGCACAUAAAUAAAAGUGUAAGCAUUCCACCUCAAGAGUAAUGUGGCAACGCAGGAACUGAAAUCACUAGACCGUUUCUGACACCAGCAGUGAAGUAUGUUGUUUAAUUCGAUAAUCCACGAAAAACCUUACCGCGGUUUGUAUAGUUUAGCUUAGGCUAACACUACAGGUAUUGCACGGCUGUUUUCAGUUAAUGUUGUGAAACUGUGUAUUUAUUACACUUAAUUAACGUAAUCCUUGACUUUAUUUUGUAGAUUUACGAUAAAGUGUUUACUUCGUUAUACAUGGAGUUAUGAGAAAGGGGACUAAUACAAGUCAUCAUGGUCUUUAUACCGCGGGCUACAGACGUGCCACAUCUUCCUAAACAAAGAGAUGCAAAAAUGUGAAUUUAAGCUAAUCUCAAAAAAUAGGAUAUAAUUUUAAUGGAUUGUAGUCUGAAACUCGACUAUAUGAAAAAGUAAUUGCUAGUAAUCGUGAAUCACCAGCGUCACGGUGAAUAUUGCUCGGAUUGGUACUAACCACUCGUCACAUGCUGAAAGGUGUAUAUACAAUAAGUUUGCUUUUAUUGGUUUAAGAUCUUGUACAAAUAGGUAUCUUCUUACACCGUAAAUCUUCGCAUGUAUAUCGCUGAUUAGUGUAAAGUCGAAAUACGGUUCGUGUAGCGGAAGUUGCACGGGAAGCAUGACUAUU
Molecule: ribosomal RNA, 1479 nt
Filed under: Emericellopsis sp. 1a5
Lineage: Eukaryota; Fungi; Ascomycota; Sordariomycetes; Hypocreales; Bionectriaceae
Description: SSU rRNA
Rfam family: Bacterial small subunit ribosomal RNA
Source: RNAcentral